GCUUAGGGCUUAUAACAGUCAAAUUCCGCUCGGAAACAGCAAAAGGGAAUAUACGCCAUAGCCAAGAGGCCAGACAUUGAAGGAACCAUGUUUGCGACAGCGAUAAGGUACAUUGGGAGGAAACCAAAGCCCAAAAUGAAAUCCAUUGAGCUUAAAACUCCACCUGAGCAGACACAAACUAUUACCAGGGUUAUUUUCGACAUUUUGAAAGAACAUGGCCCUCUCACCAUUGCUGACACCUGGGAACGUGUCAAGGAUGUUGGGUUGAGAGGCUUGACAAGCAAAAGGCACAUGAAGAUAGUAUUAAGAUGGAUGAGGGAAAGACAGAAGCUUAAGCUUAUAUGCAAUCAUGUUGGGCCCCAGAAACAAUUUCUGUAUACUACCUGGUUCACAAAACCAAAUACAAUGCAGACAAAGCCAGGAACCCAUACUUCCUGGCCAAAUACGAAGCAGAUAAUGCCUGGAAGUGAUAUUUCCCGGCCAAAGUCAUCAUAAACCUUAUAGCGUGGUGUCUGAUUAUUGAACCAAAGAUUUUUUGGAGCUUUCACCAUGCUCUGAAGCUUUACAGGGCAACUACGAUGGCUUUCACAACCUUUUAACUCUGGAUAUCAAGGCCUUAGCUUUUGGUUUGCCGUUGUUUGAACAGCUUUUAGCAAAGAGCGAUUCAUGGUUCAUUAGGCUCCAUUCUGUCUAGAUAUUGUUACAAAGCCUUUUACCUGAUUCUUGCAAGUUGUAACAUCGAACCAAGGUCCCUCAAUACUUUAACGAGGCUCAAAAGAUUUUACGAAUGCAACUGUGAGCAUAUUCAGGUACUCUGUUUGGAUAGCUGAUGGACUACUUGAUAAUGGAAUCUUGAUACAAGUCCUAAGUUCUUUCGUGUUUCUGGCUUAAACUAUUGUUAAGUAGAGCGCCGGAGUAUGGAAGUUGCCACCAUGUUAAAACUAGUGUGGAGAAUCUGUGCUUAGUUUUGGUUGAGUAUUCCAAAUGAGAGGAUGAAAGUGCUUAGUUUGGUUUGAAAAAUCUGUGCAAAUAUUGUGAUUACAUUUUCUUGGUUUACUUACAUAAGAUAGAUUAGUUAGUGUGUACAGAUUUGACCUUUAUAUACUACUUAUCUGUGACAAUGGAUUGAACUUAGUAUAGAUAUAUAUUUCAAAAGACUUUCAUCUAUACUUUAUAUUUCUAGAGCUAAAAAUAAAUGCAGUAAGUAUAGCUGCCAACUUCAAUAUACAUCCUGUCUGUACUGGUAAACGAAUUUUGAAGGUUUCCAAAAUUUGUGCUAGUAAACUGUUUUCCAGUCUGAACUCUGAACCAUCUGCAUGCUUCUUGUAUGAACAUUCUUGUAGGGAUUUUUUCAUUCCUAUACACUAUUUGAAACCUUAUUACGAAAAAUGU
Nicotiana tabacum (common tobacco) is the source of this 1392-nucleotide non-coding RNA. The record is from RefSeq and is a predicted model, not a curated record. Lineage: Eukaryota; Viridiplantae; Streptophyta; Magnoliopsida; Solanales; Solanaceae.